Molecule: ribosomal RNA, 1128 nt
Filed under: Triticum aestivum (bread wheat)
Lineage: Eukaryota; Viridiplantae; Streptophyta; Magnoliopsida; Poales; Poaceae
Description: partial small subunit ribosomal RNA
Source: RNAcentral
AUGGCCGCCGGCACCAUGGCCAUGGGCACGCACACGAAGGAACAGGAGGUGUUCAGCGGCACGCACCAGUUUACCAUCGCCGGCUUCAGCCUAGAGAAGACCAAGGGCAUCCGAAACCCCGUGAGAUCCGGCGCCUUUGAGGUCGGAGGCUACAGCUGGAAGAUCCUGUGCUACCCUGCCGGCAAGGAAGAACGAGGCCGGGGCUACGUCUCGGCAUAUCUCGAGGUGGUGAGACCCGCCGGAGACAAGUUCAAGCUCAAGUUCUGCAUCACCAUCAUUGGGCCCGGGGGAAAGCGGCAGCCUAUCGUCUACUCCUGGUGGAACCGAUGGGCGGAAAGUGCCUCUGAUGCGAACGAACUGUCAUGGGGGAGCUAUCACGCUAUCAGCCUGCGAUCUGUGGAGUCGGGGUGCCUGGUGGACGACCGUCUCACGCUGAGCUGCACCGUCCAUGUCCAAAAGCUCGAGGCGUCCACCGCAAGCCGCUCCAUCGUCAAGGUUCCGCCCCCUGGCAUCAGCCAGGAUGUUGCGCGGCUCCUGGAGAGCGAGCUUGGGUCGGACGUCACGUUCCAAGUCGACUCCAACCACUACCACGCGCACAAGGCGGUUGUGGCGACGCGGUCGCCGGUCUUCGCCGCUCAGUUCUUCGGGCCGCUGGCGGACGGGUCCGGUGGCCGCUGCGUGAGGAUCCACGACAUGGCACCCGCAGCGUUUGAGGCCGUGCUGCACUUCAUCUACACUGACACGUUGCCGCCGCCUGUCAAUGACGACGAAAGUGUGUCCGCAAGCUGCACAGAGGUAGGAGAAAUAAUGGCGGCCGGCCAUUCAGCGGAAAGGCGUAGGGAUAUGGUCUGCGACUGGCUCGCCGCUGCGGAUCGAUAUGGCCUCGAGAGGAUGAGGCUGCUGUGUGAGAGCGUGCUGUGGGAGACCAUCCAUGUGGCGAAUGCUGCGGCCACGUUGGAGAUUGCUGACCGUCACCAUUGCCAACAGCUCAAGUCCUUCUGCAUAGACUACAUCGCCUCCCCUAAGGUGUUGCCUGGUGUGCUAGCAACCGACGGAUACAAGGAACUUAAGUUGAACUGUCCCUUGCUUGUUGCCGAUAUCUUGGAGAAGCUUGGAAGUGUGUGUUAA